CAGUAGCCGCGGUAAUACGUAGGGUGCGAGCGUUAAUCGGAAUUACUGGGCGUAAAGCGAGCGCAGACGGUUAUUUAAGCAGGAUGUGAAAUCCCCGGGCUUAACCUGGGAACUGCGUUCUGAACUGGAUAGCUAGAGUGUGUCAGAGGGGGGUAGAAUUCCACGUGUAGCAGUGAAAUGCGUAGAGAUGUGGAGGGAUACCGAUGGUGAAGGCAGCCCCCUGGGAUAACACUGACGCUCAUGCACGAAAGCGUGGGGAGCAAACAGGAUUAGAUACCCCUGUAGUCCCUGUCUCUUAUAC
RNAcentral lists this ribosomal RNA (301 nucleotides) under uncultured bacterium. Its description in RNAcentral is "partial 16S ribosomal RNA". It matches the Rfam family "Bacterial small subunit ribosomal RNA", at positions 509 to 807 of the family's 1533-position model. The record is from RNAcentral.